AAAACGAGAAAUAGAAAGGGCUAUUGUCAACAACAGCAAGAAGCAUCUUCCACGCACCACACCCACUCAUAUAUAGCCACCCACUCUCCAUACAAAGAUUUUCCAUUUCUCUCUCUUUUUCUAUCUUUUUCUUCUUUUUUCUCUCUCUCUCAAACAGAGAUAUGAGGGAAGACGACUGGGUUACAGUGGCCAUGAGUGAUGACACGCUCGUCGUCCAGCUCCUUUUGAAGCUAAGCCAAGAGGAACCGCCGUCCCCCCCACUGUUCAAUAAGGGCGGCUCUGCGCCGGCUUUGCAGUUGCACUGGACCGUGAGACAACCUCGCUCUAAGCACGUGCCAAGGAAGAAAGCCGAUGCCACUCGGGCUAGUCCCACCACGCCGCUUUCUUGGAGCGGCGGCACCUCUGUUAGCGGUUGCGCAGCCGAUGGAUUCGAGGAGUCCAGCUUCCCUGCCAAGACAAUUGACAUCGCAAGAUCUAAGGUUGCCGUUGCCAGUGAAACACCAGCCACCAAGAGGUCAAGAAAGAAAAAGACCCUACCCGAGCUUAAAGAGGAGGAAAUUUUAUUGUUGAAAGAAA
RNAcentral lists this unclassified non-coding RNA (576 nucleotides) under Hevea brasiliensis (rubber tree). The record is from RNAcentral. Lineage: Eukaryota; Viridiplantae; Streptophyta; Magnoliopsida; Malpighiales; Euphorbiaceae.